This is a non-coding RNA of Rattus norvegicus (Norway rat), 69 nucleotides long. NCBI's taxonomy places the organism in Eukaryota, Metazoa, Chordata, Mammalia, Rodentia, Muridae. The record is from Rfam.
GGGGAUUUAGCUCAGUGGUAGAGCGCUUGCCUAGCAAGUGCAAGGCCCUGGGUUCGGUUCCCAGCUCUG